GAAGUGCGAUAAGCAAUGCGAAUUGCAGAACCGUGAGUCAUCAGAUUUUUGAACGCAACUGGCGCUAAUUGGAAUCCCAAUUAGCAUGCUUGUUUCAGUGUCUUUUUUUCUCAUCACCCAAAUCAUAAUGCGAGAGAUACCCUUCUCUUGUUAAACAUGAAAGCACUCUACGCUCUGCGAGCGACUUCGGUCGCAAUCAAUGCAGCAGUCACAUUGUCUCAAUGUGAACUCAUUGACAGUAGAGCUAGCGCAAGGAAACUUGUUAGUGCUUAGUUAUACAAACUUUUCAUGCAUCUGAAAUCAAGCAGGAUCACCCGCUGAACUUAA
Molecule: unclassified non-coding RNA, 327 nt
Filed under: uncultured fungus
Lineage: Eukaryota; Fungi
Description: sequence contains ITS1
Rfam family: 5.8S ribosomal RNA (bases 1-103)
Source: RNAcentral